Long non-coding RNA from Nicotiana attenuata, 609 nucleotides. RefSeq lists it as uncharacterized. The record is from RefSeq and is a predicted model, not a curated record. Lineage: Eukaryota; Viridiplantae; Streptophyta; Magnoliopsida; Solanales; Solanaceae. The transcript is spliced from 2 exons.
UAUGAAGCAAAAAAAUUGCACUCCAAUAACACAUUUUCUUAUAUAACUUUCUCCCUCUUAUAAGCAAUACUAUUGUUUGUCAUGGCUCGCAGUUAUGCUUUCUAUUUCACUAUUGCGCUCAUGGUGAUGUCUGUUUAUUUGGCUCAGUCUCCAGUACUUGCUGUGAGAGACUUGCCGACAAAUGUACCGGCAGAACUCAAAUCAAAACUAACUGGUGGUAAGAGCUUGAUGAGUGGUUGCGGCGGAUACUGCCGGUCGAGCAGUGACUGCUAUGAUAGGUAUUGUAAGUAUUGUUACUACGAUGUUAUUAACCAUACCUACGGUUGCGGCUAAAGGAUCAACGAUGGCCAACACAAUAUGAAGUCUGUUGCUUCUCAUUAGAUGAUGUUUUUGUGGUUUAUUGUCUUUGUUAUUGUGUUUUCCUUUUUCCAUUUCAGUUUUUUUUUUCUCAUGGAAGAAAAUAAAAUGACUAAGUUCUACUUCUAUCUAGAUCAGGACAAUGUCGAAUGUAACAUCAACAUGGGUUUUGUUGGCCUACAUUAACUGUUCCUGUUGUAUCUGUACUUCUAAUUUUUGAAUUAAACAGUAGUAUAUCAUUUAGCUUAUCAA